This 481-nucleotide ribosomal RNA is filed under the name uncultured bacterium. RNAcentral's name for it is "partial 16S ribosomal RNA". It matches the Rfam family "Bacterial small subunit ribosomal RNA", at positions 28 to 523 of the family's 1533-position model. The record is from RNAcentral.
GACGAACGCUGGCGGCGUGCUUAACACAUGCAAGUCGAGCGGAAAGGCCACUUCGGUGGUACUCGAGCGGCGAACGGGUGAGUAACACGUGAGUAAUCUGCCCCUGGCUUUGGGAUAGCCACCGGAAACGGUGAUUAAUACCGGAUACGACCACUUCUCGCAUGGGAUGGUGGUGGAAAGUUUUUUCGGCCAGGGAUGUGCCCGCGGCCUAUCAGCUUGAUGGUGAGGUAAUGGCUCACCAUGGCUUCGACGGGUAGCCGGCCUGAGAGGGUGACCGGUCACACGGGGACUGAGAGACGGCCCAGACUCCUACGGGUGGCAGCAGUGGGGAAUAUUGGACAAUGGGCGGGAGCCUGAUCCAGCAACGCCGCGUGAGGGAUGACGGCCUUCGGGUUGUAAACCUCUUUCAGCAGGGACGAAGCGCAAGUGACGGUACCUGCAGAAGAAGCACCGGCCAACUACGUGCCAGCCGCCGCCGUAA